CCACUCUCAGAGAAAUCAGUAGUACUGCUAGGUUUUACACAGUAAUAAUAUAUAUCUGCCUCACUCUCAGAGAAAUCAGUAGUACUGCUAGGUUUUACACAGUAAUAAUAUAUAUCUGUCUCACUCUCAGAGAAAUCAGUAGUACUGCUAGGUUUUACACAGUAAUAAUAUAUAUCUGCCUCACUCUCAGAGAAAUCAGUAGUACUGCUAGGUUUUACACAGUAAUAAUAUAUAUCUGCCUCACUCUCAGAGAAAUCAGUAGUACUGCUAGGUUUUACACAGUAAUAAUAUAUAUCUGCCUCACUCUCAGAGAAAUCAG
Molecule: long non-coding RNA, 319 nt
Filed under: Salmo salar (Atlantic salmon)
Lineage: Eukaryota; Metazoa; Chordata; Actinopteri; Salmoniformes; Salmonidae
Description: lncRNA (ENSSSAG00000110925.1)
Source: RNAcentral